AAACGCUGGCGGCGUCCUAACUCAUGCAAGUCGAGCGAGAAAGUUCUUCGGAAGUGAGUACAGCGGCGAGUGAGUUACGCGUGAGAAUCUACCUUUUAGUGAAGGAUACCCUUGAGAAAUCGAGGUUAAUACUGCAUAAGUCCCUUCGGGGAGAAAGAUGGCCUCUUUGCUGUCGCUAAAAGAUGAGCUUGCGUGCUAUUAGCUAGUUGGUAGGGUAAAGGCCUACCAAGGCGAUGAUGGCUAGCCGGCCUGAGAGGGUGUACGGCCACACUGGAACUUAGACACGGUCCAGACUCCUACGGGAGGCAGCAGUGAGGAAUCUUGCGCAAUGGGCGAAAGCCUGACGCAGCGACGCCGCGUGGAGGAUGAAGGUCUUUGGAUUGUAAACUCCUGUUAAGUGGGAAGAAACGUCUGUUUUUAAUAGAAGCAGAUAAUGACGGUACCAUUAGAGAAAGCACGGAUAACUCGUGCCAAAGCGCGGUAUACAGGGGUGCAAGCGUAUACGGAAUAUGG
RNAcentral lists this ribosomal RNA (513 nucleotides) under uncultured bacterium. RNAcentral's name for it is "bacterial SSU rRNA". It matches the Rfam family "Bacterial small subunit ribosomal RNA", at positions 33 to 541 of the family's 1533-position model. The record is from RNAcentral.